This is a non-coding RNA of Podarcis lilfordi (Lilford's wall lizard), 75 nucleotides long. NCBI's taxonomy places the organism in Eukaryota, Metazoa, Chordata, Lepidosauria, Squamata, Lacertidae. The record is from the annotation of a GenBank genome assembly.
GGAGACAUGGGGCCAUAGUGGUAGAGCAUCUGCCUUGCAAGAAGAAGGUUCCAGGUUCAAUCCCUGGCAUCUCCA